RNAcentral lists this long non-coding RNA (434 nucleotides) under Homo sapiens (human). RNAcentral describes it as "non-protein coding ID2-AS1:5". Lineage: Eukaryota; Metazoa; Chordata; Mammalia; Primates; Hominidae. The record is from RNAcentral.
AGUCCCAGGCUCGCCCAGGCCCGGCCGCCGGCCCGCGCGCACCUGCAGACGCUAACGGCCCCCCUCUCCGCCCUGGGGGAGCCGGGAGGAUGUGCAGCCCCAGUCCUCCUGCUCGGCGGAGCCUCGCGCGCGCAGAGCCUAGCGCGAUUCGCGCCCUCAUUACUACUACAAAGCGCGGGCCAGACCAAUCCCCUUUCUAAUGCACCAUUUUCGACUGAGAACAUCAAGAGGCCAGAAACUUCCAAGUCAGCUUGCAGACGCAGACGCCUCCUGGGGUCCUGGCUUUAAGAACCAGAUGCCAACACUCCCGGACAGUUUAUGGCAUCCGGAUCCCUCAAGGGUGCUCAUCUGCAGUUGAGAGUCUAAUAAAUGGCAUUAACAAAGCGUUUCAGCGACUACCACGGCUUCACAGUGGCUCCUCCCCUGCCCUGCCA